AAAACUCUAAGCGGUGGAUCACUCGGCUCAUGGGUCGAUGAAGAACGCAGCAAACUGUGCGUCAUCGUGUGAACUGCAGGACACAUGAACAUCGACAUUUUGAACGCAUAUCGCAGUCCAUGCUGUUAUGUACUUUAAUUAAUUUUAUAGUGCUGCUUGGACUACAUAUGGUUGAGGGUUGUAAGACUAUGCUAAUUAAGUUGCUUAUAAAUUUUUAUAAGCAUAUGGUAUAUUAUUGGAUAAAUAUAAUAAUUUUUAUUCAUAAUAUUAAAAAAUAAAUGAAAAACAUUAUCUCACAUUUGAAUGUGAAAAACGAAGAGAAAUAUUUUCUUUUUCAAUCAAAUAAUACUGAGAAAUGUCUAGCAUAAAAAAAUUGAAAUAUUUUUCAUCUAGAAUUGUCUCUUAUUAAUGAUUCGGAAAUAGAAAAAUCUUGGUUAUGUUAUUAUUCUUCGUUGGUUCGUUAAAAAUGGAUAAAUAAAAACUUUGCAUACAAGAAUUAAUAAAAAUGUUAUAACGAAUUUAAUUAAAUGUUUUAUCAUUAUAUAUAAAGAAUUUAUGGCAAGAUAAAGUUAUAUACAACCUCAACUCAUAUGGGACUACCCCCUGAAUUUAAGCAUAUUAAUUAGGGGAGGAAAAGAAACUAACAAGGAUUUUCUUAGUAGCGGCGAGCGAAAAGAAAACAGUUCAGCACUAAGUCACUUUGUCUAUAUGGCAAAUGUGAGAUGCAGUGUAUGGAGCGUCAAUAUUCUAGUAUGAGAAAUUAACGAUUUAAGUCCUUCUUAAAUGAGGCCAUUUACCCAUAGAGGGUGCCAGGCCCGUAUAACGUUAAUGAUUACUAGAUGAUGUUUCCAAAGAGUCGUGUUGCUUGAUAGUGCAGCACUAAGUGGGUGGUAAACUCCAUCUAAAACUAAAUAUAACCAUGAGACCGAUAGUAAACAAGUACCGUGAGGGAAAGUUGAAAAGAACUCUGAAUAGAGAGUUAAACAGUACGUGAAACUGCUUAGAGGUUAAGCCCGAUGAACCUGAAUAUCCGUUAUGGAAAAUUCAUCAUUAAAAUUGUAAUAUUUAAAUAAUAUUAUGAGAAUAGUGUGCAUUUUUUCCAUAUAAGGACAUUGUAAUCUAUUAGCAUAUACCAAAUUUAUCAUAAAAUAUAACUUAUAGUUUAUUCCAAUUAAAUUGCUUGCAUUUUAACACAGAAUAAAUGUUAUUAAUUUGAUAAAGUGCUGAUAGAUUUAUAUGAUUACAGUGCGUUAAUUUUUCGGAAUUAUAUAAUGGCAUAAUUAUCAUUGAUUUUUGUGUUUAUUAUAUGCACUUGUAUGAUUAACAAUGCGAAAGAUUCAGGAUACCUUCGGGACCCGUCUUGAAACACGGACCAAGGAGUCUAACAUAUGUGCAAGUUAUUGGGAUAUAAACCUAAUAGCGUAAUUAACUUGACUAAUAAUGGGAUUAGUUUUUUAGCUAUUUAUAGCUAAUUAACACAAUCCCGGGGCGUUCUAUAUAGUUAUGUAUAAUGUAUAUUUAUAUUAUUUAUGCCUCUAACUGGAACGUACCUUGAGCAUAUAUGCUGUGACCCGAAAGAUGGUGAACUAUACUUGAUCAGGUUGAAGUCAGGGGAAACCCUGAUGGAAGACCGAAACAGUUCUGACGUGCAAAUCGAUUGUCAGAAUUGAGUAUAGGGGCGAAAGACCAAUCGAACCAUCUAGUAGCUGGUUCCUUCCGAAGUUUCCCUCAGGAUAGCUGGUGCAUUUUAAUAUUAUAUAAAAUAAUCUUAUCUGGUAAAGCGAAUGAUUAGAGGCCUUAGGGUCGAAACGAUCUUAACCUAUUCUCAAACUUUAAAUGGGUAAGAACCUUAACUUUCUUGAUAUGAAGUUCAAGGUUAUGAUAUAAUGUGCCCAGUGGGCCACUUUUGGUAAGCAGAACUGGCGCUGUGGGAUGAACCAAACGUAAUGUUACGGUGCCCAAAUUAACAACUCAUGCAGAUACCAUGAAAGGCGUUGGUUGCUUAAAACAGCAGGACGGUGAUCAUGGAAGUCGAAAUCCGCUAAGGAGUGUGUAACAACUCACCUGCCGAAGCAACUAGCCCUUAAAAUGGAUGGCGCUUAAGUUGUAUACCUAUACAUUACCGCUAAAGUAGAUGAUUUAUAUUACUUGUGAUAUAAAUUUUGAAACUUUAGUGAGUAGGAAGGUACAAUGGUAUGCGUAGAAGUGUUUGGCGUAAGCCUGCAUGGAGCUGCCAUUGGUACAGAUCUUGGUGGUAGUAGCAAAUAAUCGAAUGAGACCUUGGAGGACUGAAGUGGAGAAGGGUUUCGUGUGAACAGUGGUUGAUCACGAGUUAGUCGGUCCUAAGUUCAAGGCGAAAGCCGAAAAUUUUCAAGUAAAACAAAAAUGCCUAACUAUAUAAACAAAGCGAAUUAUAAUACACUUGAAUAAUUUUGAACGAAAGGGAAUACGGUUCCAAUUCCGUAACCUGUUGAGUAUCCGUUUGUUAUUAAAUAUGGGCCUCGUGCUCAUCCUGGCAACAGGAACGACCAUAAAGAAGCCGUCGAGAGAUAUCGGAAGAGUUUUCUUUUCUGUUUUAUAGCCGUACUACCAUGGAAGUCUUUCGCAGAGAGAUAUGGUAGAUGGGCUAGAAGAGCAUGACAUAUACUGUUGUGUCGAUAUUUUCUCCUCGGACCUUGAAAAUUUAUGGUGGGGACACGCAAACUUCUCAACAGGCCGUACCAAUAUCCGCAGCUGGUCUCCAAGGUGAAGAGUCUCUAGUCGAUAGAAUAAUGUAGGUAAGGGAAGUCGGCAAAUUAGAUCCGUAACUUCGGGAUAAGGAUUGGCUCUGAAGAUUGAGAUAGUCGGGCUUGAUUGGGAAACAAUAACAUGGUUUAUGUGCUCGUUCUGGGUAAAUAGAGUUUCUAGCAUUUAUGUUAGUUACUUGUUCCCCGGAUAGUUUAGUUACGUAGCCAAUUGUGGAACUUUCUUGCUAAAAUUUUUAAGAAUACUAUUUGGGUUAAACCAAUUAGUUCUUAUUAAUUAUAACGAUUAUCAAUUAACAAUCAAUUCAGAACUGGCACGGACUUGGGGAAUCCGACUGUCUAAUUAAAACAAAGCAUUGUGAUGGCCCUAGCGGGUGUUGACACAAUGUGAUUUCUGCCCAGUGCUCUGAAUGUCAAAGUGAAGAAAUUCAAGUAAGCGCGGGUCAACGGCGGGAGUAACUAUGACUCUCUUAAGGCCUCGUCAUCUAAUUAGUGACGCGCAUGAAUGGAUUAACGACGGACGUGUUUUCGUUGCGCUCGUGGACAUAGUGCGAAGAACUUUGUUUUCCGUAUUUGGAAGUAUACGAAUAAAUAAUUUAAUGUUCCGUGGAAGUGGUGCGCAAAUUUUCGCGAAUUAAAAACAAGCGGUUUGGAAGUAAUUGACAAUAAAUUAUUGGAAAUUUUCCACUCCGCACGUGUUGAGCGGCGAGCUUGCGGGUGAGCUUUUCGAACAGCUGAGAGAAGCUUAUUGGUGGUAGUCACCGCUAAGGAUUGUGUCUUGGGACAGCUUAGUGCACUCUACCAAUAGGUGGAGCUAUCACCAUAGCAACUAGCCCGUGUCAGCGAGCAUACGAUUGCUGGACUCGUCAAAAGGAGGAGCCACCAUCGGAGCAACGCCGAUGGAGAGCGACAGCAGUGUGAGUGCCUUGAGCGGAAGCAGUGCCUCAAAGGUGUCAAGACGAGGCAGGCGUAGAGGCCAUCUGGCCUCCAAGAGCUCGGCGCCAACGCAGGCGAAGCUGGUUGCCCUGGCCUCGAAUGGAGUGCCAGAACCCGUUGGUGUGCUGGAGGAGGCGUUUUCAUCGCUGGAGGAUGCCCGGGCGGCUACGUCAAGCGCUGCCAACGAUGCUGCCCCCCCCGC
Molecule: ribosomal RNA, 3882 nt
Filed under: Drosophila melanogaster (fruit fly)
Lineage: Eukaryota; Metazoa; Arthropoda; Insecta; Diptera; Drosophilidae
Description: eukaryotic LSU rRNA
Rfam family: Eukaryotic large subunit ribosomal RNA (bases 577-3315)
Source: RNAcentral